This 253-nucleotide ribosomal RNA is filed under the name uncultured bacterium. Its description in RNAcentral is "partial 16S ribosomal RNA". It matches the Rfam family "Bacterial small subunit ribosomal RNA", at positions 524 to 776 of the family's 1533-position model. The record is from RNAcentral.
UACGUAGGGUGCAAGCGUUGUCCGGAAUUAUUGGGCGUAAAGAGCUCGUAGGCGGUUUGUCGCGUCUGCUGUGAAAACUCAGGGCUUAACCCUGAGCUUGCAGUGGGUACGGGCAGACUAGAGUGUGGUAGGGGAGAUCGGAAUUCCUGGUGUAGCGGUGGAAUGCGCAGAUAUCAGGAGGAACAUCGGUGGCGAAGGCGGAUCUCUGGGCCAUAACUGACGCUGAGGAGCGAAAGCAUGGGGAGCGAACAGG